UUUCUCCGCCGGCGACCGGCGCGACGGGUGAGUAACACGUAUGCAACCUGCCCCUGUCAGGGGGGACAACCCGCCGAAAGGGCGGGGCUAAAACCCCGCGUACAUGCCACCGGGGCAGUCCCGGAGGCAGGAAAGGCUUCGGCCGGACAGGGAUGGGCAUGCGGCGCAUUAGGCAGUAGGCGGGGUAACGGCCCACCUAACCGACGAUGCGUAGGGGUUCUGAGAGGAAGGUCCCCCACACUGGUACUGAGACACGGACCAGACUCCUACGGGAGGCAGCAG
This 282-nucleotide ribosomal RNA is filed under the name uncultured bacterium. RNAcentral's name for it is "partial 16S ribosomal RNA". It matches the Rfam family "Bacterial small subunit ribosomal RNA", at positions 80 to 354 of the family's 1533-position model. The record is from RNAcentral.